AACGGGUUAAUUCAUGUAUAAAUUUAACUUAUCUUAAACUUUUAUAUAUAUAUAUAUAUAGUUAUUAUCUUAAAUGAAUAAACAUAAAAAAAAAUAUUGAUAAAGAAAAUCUAGCGCUUUGAAUUACGGAUCAGGAUCAUAAUAAUUAAAUAAAAAUAAUUUUAAAAUAUAAUAAUAAAAAAUACCAAAUAUAUGUGAUGAUUUAAAAUAAUCAAUUAACUUACAGCAUGAAAACUAUCAAAUUGUUAUAUAUUCAAAUUAUUAUAUAUAAACAUUUAAAUAUAUAAGUAACUUUAUAAAUAUAUUUUAAUUAUGUAAAAUAUAUAUAAAACAUGAAAAUUAGUACCCGCACGGUUGUGCGGGUCCAAAUCUAGUGUUUUAUUAAGACGAAAAAAAAAACAAAAAAGUAACGACAUGCAAGCACAUAAGCACAUGUGUCUUUUCCAUCGACAAAUAAGUUAUUUAACUAUUCUAUCUAUACUAUUAAAAGAGAAACAUUCC
This 501-nucleotide long non-coding RNA is filed under the name Brassica rapa (field mustard). RNAcentral's name for it is "long non-coding RNA (BRAP_LNC006557)". Lineage: Eukaryota; Viridiplantae; Streptophyta; Magnoliopsida; Brassicales; Brassicaceae. The record is from RNAcentral.